UACGGGGGGAGCAAGCGUUGUUCGGAUUUACUGGGCGUAAAGGGCGCGUAGGCGGCCACGACAAGUCACUUGUGAAAUCUCCGGGCUUAACUCGGAGCGGUCAAGUGAUACUGUCGGGCUAGAGUACAGAAGGGGCAACUGGAAUUCUCGGUGUAGCGGUGAAAUGCGUAGAUAUCUGGAGGAACACCGGUGGCGAAGGCGGCAUCCUGGACCGACACUGACACUGAGGAGCGAAAGCCAGGGGAGCAAACGGG
This 254-nucleotide ribosomal RNA is filed under the name uncultured bacterium. RNAcentral's name for it is "partial 16S ribosomal RNA". It matches the Rfam family "Bacterial small subunit ribosomal RNA", at positions 524 to 776 of the family's 1533-position model. The record is from RNAcentral.